Molecule: long non-coding RNA, 484 nt
Organism: Felis catus (domestic cat)
Lineage: Eukaryota; Metazoa; Chordata; Mammalia; Carnivora; Felidae
Exons: 3
Source: RefSeq, a predicted model, not a curated record
UGUAGGUUAUUUGAAUAGGCUGAGCCAUCAGUGAAAAGAGAGGUUUGGUGUCUCACAAAUAGGACAUCUGAGAAUAUGAAGUCAAUAUGACACUCAGGGGGAGCCAGCUGGCAUGUUAUGAAGACACUUGAGCAGCUGUACAUGCAGACAAGUCCUCGUGAUGAGGGGUUCGGGCCUCCUGCCAACAGCCAUGGGAGUGAGCCAUCUUGGAAUCAGGUCCCUCAGCUGCCGUUAGGCAACUCUGCAACUCUGCCUGAUGUCUUGACUACAGUCCUGGAGACCCUGAACCAGACCCGUCCAGCUCAGCUGCUUCCAGAUUCCCAACCCUCAGACACUGGGGGAAGAUGCCAACUCUUGGGUAAAAUGAUGCUUCCAAGCUCCCCACUUUGUCAGGAGAAGAACCAUGGCUUGAACCCACAUGGCACUGAGUACAAGGCAUCAUGAAACUGGAUCCAAAUAGAAAGUUAACCAGAUGCUGCUCACC